UUGAUAAACCAUCCUUUCUUCUUGCCUUUGCCCAUCUCGUCCUCUCAUUCUCCAUAUACAAGGAAAACACGGAUAAUGUCUUCCAUCUCGGAUCCGAUUUUUAGCCGGCAUGAUUGCGGAUUUGCCCGUGUUGCUCCAUCUUUGGAGAACGGCGGCGACGACGACGGCGGCGUUUAUGAUUAUGCUCCCGCGGCAUGAUGUUAGCCCAAAUCUAUAUAGCGUUUUGGCAAAGAGAAUGAUAUCAUGGGCCAGACUUGAAAAUCCUCUCUUUUUAGAUCAAGAUUACGUGGAAGUUUGUGCUCCUUAUCUCUUUAGGAAAAAGUGAUAAGUACACAAACGAAUUUACAUCGAUCGGCUUGUAAAAUACGCAUGCAAUACUCAACGUGAACUUCUCCCACAAAAUUGCAAUGGAGGUUGCUUUGCGAAAGGCUACAAUAUAGAGUCACCAUUGGCCGGCGAGUUCCUCGGUUUUAGGAUGCAAGAAGAACUGAAAGCGAGUUCCUCGGAUUUAGAUGCAUCAAUUCUAUAACACAUCUAUCUACGGUUCCAAAUUGAAGAAGAAGAUUACACAAACAUAGACAUAUCUCUCGAAUUAUUGGAAGUUUGAUUUUCGUUUGUCUUUUUUCUUAUUUAAUUUUCGUAAUUUUAUAUUUUUACAUGGUAUCAGGGUCUGAUUCGAUCUGCUCUAUAUAUAUCUUUUUCAAUCU
Long non-coding RNA from Tarenaya hassleriana, 707 nucleotides. RefSeq lists it as uncharacterized. The transcript has 2 exons. The record is from RefSeq and is a predicted model, not a curated record. NCBI's taxonomy places the organism in Eukaryota, Viridiplantae, Streptophyta, Magnoliopsida, Brassicales, Cleomaceae.